This is a long non-coding RNA of Arabidopsis thaliana (thale cress), 433 nucleotides long. RefSeq annotates it as other RNA. The record is from RefSeq. The transcript has a single exon. Lineage: Eukaryota; Viridiplantae; Streptophyta; Magnoliopsida; Brassicales; Brassicaceae.
GUAUGCGUUGUAAUGGCCUAAAAUUACAAAAAUACUUAAUAUCUAUUAUAAUUACUAAUGUGAAAAUUUAAUAGAAUCAAUCAGUUAAAAAUUAAAAGAAAUUAUUAAAGAAUGUCAAAUUUGGUAAAUUCUUGGUUUGGCUUGAUUUAGAAAAGAGUUUGAUAAGCCAACGAUCCUUGUAAACCGUCUUGAUAUGAUCCCUGUUGCUUUGCCACCAAAGAUGGCAUCCAUGAAAGAGCUUGCUGAGCUCAAGCUCAUUUCCUAGUGUCCUUGGCCUCUCUUCUUUAUUAUUGAUCCUAAAUUUUGCCCUCUCUAUCAGAUUAACCUAUGUGCUCAUCUUUAACAUUUGGCAUACCUAUUCCAACGACUGAAUCACUUUGUUUAUACACUUGUGCACUCAGCUCUUAAUCCUCCUAGGUACUAGCUCCAAGUU